CAUUGGCUUCGGCAACCUGCACCAGCGCCGGGUCGGAGAGUCAGAGGCCACCCUGAGAUGGACCGAGAUCUUCAGUUGGGGAGGCGCCUCCGGUGAGCUUGCGGCCAGAUGCCCCCUCAGUAGUCCUCCGCAACAGGUGCCGCGCAGCCGAGUGGCGGGCUAGCAUACCGCCUGCCCGCAAUUCGGCCAGGCCUCGAGCCUGCUCCGCCUUCCCGCUGCGGUAGCGCCGCCGGGGAAACGCCGCCACGGGCUGCAUGGGCAGCGCUCGCGCCCCGCCGCUGAGCCGCCGGGGAGCCGUCCAGUCUUCGAAUCCCAGAAACACAAAGAUGGUGCAGACCCAGGCCCUGCUUUGACUGGGAGAAAGAUGCAUUCAGUUGACUAAAACUUGAAUGUCAGGAGAAUUCAGUCACACCCAAAGCAGGAGGUAAUAAGACACCGAAGUGAGGACUUCACAGGCUGCUUGGGAGAAGACAAUCAUCCGUGGGCUUGGGAAAGGGAGAAAUGCCUACUGAGUUUAGGGAAUUGCUUGCUGGAAGAAAUGAUGAUGCGGGAGGCCAGAUGCGCAAGAUGGACACUCGGCUCCUCCUUCGUCCCCGCCUCUCCUCGCUUCCAGGGUAGCAGCCUCAACAAGGGAAACUAUUGUUCCAGUGGAGGCUGCGAGGAUGUCGGUGAUUUACGCGCCGAGCUGUAGCUGCAAAAGGACAAGGGCAAGUGCCGGCCCGACCUAGGGCCCACCGGUCUCUGGCUUGCUCUUGUGAGUAGGUGCACCCUGCCCGCUUGUGGUGGCCUCAGGGGUAAGAAAUCAGGACCCACCCAGUGAGAGAAAUAACCCAAGCUGUCAGCAACGCGGAAAGAAAUGGGCUAGCAACCUCUUAAAGCAUCCUCACGUACUGCGGCGAUGACUCUGUGCACAGACCAAGGAAGGAGAGAGGCCGCGGAAGUCAGGUAAAGUACUUCCUUGGUGGUCAGAUUCUGGAGGGCUAAACGUGUGUGUGCGUGAAUGAUCAAAAACAACCCUACUUGCGGUGUUGUUCAUGUGGAUGGUGACAAGUCCUACUGCUGGAUGGCGUCAGUGGGUUUCUCUCCGUGGUUCCGUAGCUACCUCAUAUGGCUUAGGGCGGAUUAUGCCAUGGGAUUUAUACCGGCACCCAACAUUAAGAGGGGCCUAAUUCUCCCUUAAGGGGGCAACGAAAGAGGAUAACAUGAGUGGGAAGUGUGCAAGGGACCUUCAGAGGGGGAAAGGGAGGAAACAGGUGAACCUUCUGGUACAGGCAAGGCUAGACAUCCCUGGUUUGAGGUGGUGAGGCUUUGGGGUCAGGCAAGGUGAGACAUCCCUGGUUUGAAGGUUUGAGGCUUUCAGGACAGGCAAGGCAAGCCAUCACCUGGUUUGAGUGGUUGAGCCUUCCGAGGCAGGCAAGGCAAGACAUCCUUGGUUUGAGGGGUUGAGCCUUCUGGGGCAGGCAAAGUGAGACACCCCUGCUUUGAGGGGUUGAGCCUUCCGCAGAUUUCAGGGGGUUGAACCUUACACAAACCUCUGGUGGUAAGAAAAAUACUCAAAACUCCCCUUUCCUUUCAUCUUGGGGAAAGAAAGAGUAGCUCCACUCCCACUGGUCCCUCCUCUAGAGGAAGGGGAAGGGGAAGGAGAGGAGAGAACAGCAGCAUGAGCGGCUGGCAGAGGCAGAGAAAGAGAAACAAAGUCAAAGAGAAAAAGAAGCAGAGAGAGACAGACAAACGGAAUCAGAGAGAGAAAGAGAGAGAUAGUGGUAAAGAGAAAACAGUGUAUCCUAUUCCUUUAAAAUCCAGGGUAAAUUAAAAACCUAUAAUUAAUAAUUGAAGGUCUUCUCAGGAACCUUGUAACACUACAAUACCACCUUGUUGUCAGUGUAAACAAGGGCAUAGCCCAAAAGCACUGAGGCCACUGACAAUCCCUAGCCUUCCUAAUAAAAAUUCUUAACCCAGUAACCUGCGGAUGGUCCAAAUACCUUCAAUCUAUUGUGUCCAAUGCUUUGCUAAUGGAAGAAAGUAGAAAAAUAACUUUUAGAGGAAGCCUCAUUGUGAGCCCACCUUAUCAGGUCAGAACUGUCUUAAAUUAAAAAAAAAAAAAAAGGCAAAAAUGUAGUCCUUACUGACUCAAGAAUCUUAAAGUGUGAGGCCAUUCUGCUAGAAAAAGAUGAUUUAACAUUAACCACUGAAAAUUCCCUUAACCCCUGUAGGUUUCCUAACAGGGGAUCUAAACCUUAAUUACCACACAAAGGUUGGACAAGUAGGUUUCUUAACAGGGAAUCUAAAUCUUAAUUACCACACAAAGGUCGGACCAUACCUAGGAGGAACUCCCUUCUGGACAGAAGGAUAGAUGGUUCCUCCCGGGUGAUUGAAGGAAAAAGACACAAUGGGUUUGAAACUCCUGUAGAAGCAGAGUUAGGAAAAUUGCCUUCUAAUUGGUCUGCUCAAACGUGCGACCUGUUUGCAUUCAGCAAAGCCUUAAAGUACCUACAGAAUCAGGAAGGAGCCAUCUAUACCAGUUCUAAGUUAAUGUGGACUGAACAGGUCUUACUAAUAGCAAAGAAUACUUGAAAUCCCAAACGUACAAAGUUUUCAACAAAAGUAAAAUUUGCUAAAAGUUAGCAGUGUAACAUGCUAACUUAACUUCUAAUCUUCUGUCCUUAGACAGUGUAGUCCCCAUGUCUGUGGACAUGAAGGAGGUUCACUUUGGAAAAGAAUGUUUAUCGUCUUUGAGAGAAAAAAAAAGGGGGGUAG
RNAcentral lists this long non-coding RNA (2757 nucleotides) under Homo sapiens (human). Its description in RNAcentral is "HSALNT0409468". Lineage: Eukaryota; Metazoa; Chordata; Mammalia; Primates; Hominidae. The record is from RNAcentral.